This 1391-nucleotide long non-coding RNA is filed under the name Oncorhynchus kisutch (coho salmon). RNAcentral describes it as "lncRNA (ENSOKIG00005038807.1)". The record is from RNAcentral. Lineage: Eukaryota; Metazoa; Chordata; Actinopteri; Salmoniformes; Salmonidae.
UUGUAAGAGUAGGCCUACACCCUCAUCAUUACAGCCAGACAGGACACACUACCAUGGAGGAUAUCACCCUGACCAAGUGGUUUAAGGUGAAAGAAUACGACCAGAAGAGUGAGCAGCGGUCAGAGAAACACAAGGGACUACGGGGACGCAACAACGUUACUUCCUGUCGGAGCCCAACCAGAGAACUGGACACACGGUGGAUCAAGAAGGAGCUGAGGCGGAAGAGACAGCAGGAAUUCAAUAUAAGACGAUCAGUCAGCCCAGAAAGGGCCAAAGACUCUGGAAAGGUCAAGGACGACAGUUGUGUCAUCUGUGACACAGCCAAGUCAGAGACGGUGGGGGCUAAGGUCAGCGUGACCCCUAAGUCAAAUCUGCAUGGGUCACAAAGAGCGAAAGACUCUGCAAAGGUCAAGGACGACAGUUGUGUCAUCUGUGACGAAGUGAAGACAGAGUCUUUGCAGUGUAACAUCAAUUGGCCUAUGCCCCCUGGGCUUAUGUCCGAUGAAAGGCCAUUGACAAUGGGUCGAAGAAUAAAGCCAUCCAAAGAUGACCUGGGCAACAGUGAAUGGGCCUCAAUAUGGAAAAAUGAGAAGAGCAGUACUAGAACACUAGAGGCAGUUUCCUCCACCUUCACCACCUUCACCACCUCGACCAGAGAACCACCCACCUCCACCUUCACCACCUCGACCAGAGAACCACCCACCUCCACCUUCACCACCUCGACCAGAGAACCACCCACCUCCACCUUCACCACCUCGACCAGAGAACCACCCAUCUCCACCCCAACCAUCUGCACCUCGACCAGAGAACCACCCACCUCCACCUUCACCACCUCGACCAGAGAACCACCCACCUCCACCUUCACCACCUCGACCAGAGAACCACCCACCUCCACCUUCACCACCUCGACCAGAGAACCACCCAUCUCCACCCCAACCACCUGCACCUCGACCAGAGAACCACCCAUCUCCACCCCAACCACCUGCACCUCGACCAGAGAACCACCCAUCUCCACCCCAACCAUCUGCACCUCGACCAGAGAACCACCCAUCUCCACCCCAACCUCCACCCUGAAGACGUCCACCCCGAGCAGAGAACUAAUCCAGCCCAGGUUAAAAGCCUUGACAAAACAACCACCCACCUCCACCCCUACGUCCACCCCUACCUCCACCCCUACCUCCACCCCUACGUCCACCCCUACGUCCACCCCUACCUCCACCCCUACCUCCACCCCAACCUCCACCCUACCUCCACCCCAACCUCCACCCCUACCUCCACCCCUACCUCCACCCCUACGUCCACCCCUACCUCCACCCCUACGUCCACCCCUACCUCCACCCCAACCUCCACCCCUACCUCCACCCCAACCUCCACCCCGAGCAGAGAACUAG